CCUACGGGGCAGCAGUGAGGAAUAUUGGUCAAUGGCCGGAAGGCUGAACCAGCCAAGCCGCGUGAAGGACGAAGGUGCCAAGCAUUGUAAACUUCUUUUGUCAAGGGACAAAAUCAGGCUCGAGAGCCUGACCGAGGGUACUUGAAGAAAAAGCAUCGGCUAACUCCGUGCCAGCAGCCGCGGUAAUACGGAGGAUGCGAGCGUUAUCCGGAUUUACUGGGUGUAAAGGGAGCGUAGACGGCAUAGCAAGUCUGAAGUGAAAGCCCAAGGCUCAACCAUGGGACUGCUUUGGAAACUGUUAAGCU
This 305-nucleotide ribosomal RNA is filed under the name uncultured bacterium. RNAcentral describes it as "bacterial SSU rRNA". It matches the Rfam family "Bacterial small subunit ribosomal RNA", at positions 338 to 642 of the family's 1533-position model. The record is from RNAcentral.